AGGAUUUAGUAGUAAAUUAAGAA
RNAcentral lists this non-coding RNA (23 nucleotides) under Cricetulus griseus (Chinese hamster). Lineage: Eukaryota; Metazoa; Chordata; Mammalia; Rodentia; Cricetidae. The record is from RNAcentral.